This 958-nucleotide ribosomal RNA is filed under the name Flavobacterium sp. AMF1599. Its description in RNAcentral is "bacterial SSU rRNA". It matches the Rfam family "Bacterial small subunit ribosomal RNA", at positions 55 to 1024 of the family's 1533-position model. Lineage: Bacteria; Pseudomonadati; Bacteroidota; Flavobacteriia; Flavobacteriales; Flavobacteriaceae. The record is from RNAcentral.
AUGCAGUCGAGGGGUAGAGCACUUUGGUUGUUGAGACCGGCGCACGGGUGCGUAAGGGGCCUUCUGCCUUCCACAGAGGGAUAGCCCAGAGAAACAGGGAUAAAUACCUCAUAGCAUGAUGACCCGGCAUCGGGAUAUGAUUAAAGUCACAACGGUGGAAGAUGAGCAUGCGUCCCAUUAGCUAGUUGGUAAGGUAACGGCUUACCAAGGCUACGAUGGGUAGGGGUCCUGAGAGGGAGAUCCCCCACACUGGUACUGAGACACGGACCAGACUCCUACGGGAGGCAGCAGUGAGGAAUAUUGGUCAAUGGGCGCAAGCCUGAACCAGCCAUGCCGCGUGCAGGAUGACGGUCCUAUGGAUUGUAAACUGCUUUUGUACGGGAAGAAACCCUCCUACGUGUAGGAGCUUGACGUUACCGUAAGAAUAAGGAUCGGCUAACUCCGUGCCAGCAGCCGCGGUAAUACGGAGGAUCCAAGCGUUAUCCGGAAUCAUUGGGUUUAAAGGGUCUGUAGGCGGUCUUGUAAGUCAGUGGUGAAAGCCCAUCGCUCAACGGUGGAACGGCCAUUGAUACUGCUGGACUUGAAUUAUUGGGAAGCAACUAGAAUAUGUAGUGUAGCGGUGAAAUGCUUAGAGAUUACAUGGAAUACCAAUUGCGAAGGCAGGUUGCUACCAAUGGAUUGACGCUGAUGGACGAAAGCGUGGGUAGCGAACAGGAUUAGAUAGCCUGGUAGUCCACGCCGUAAACGAUGGAUACUAGCUGUUGGGCGCAAGGUCAGUGGCUAAGCGAAAGUGAUAAGUAUCCCACCUGGGGAGUACGAACGCAAGUUUGAAACUCAAAGGAAUUGACGGGGGCCCGCACAAGCGGUGGAGCAUGUGGUUUAAUUCGAUGAUACGCGAGAAACCUUACCAAGACUUAAAUGGAACGACCGGUUUGGAAACAAGCCUUUCACAGACAGU